CCUUAAGAACAUUUUUUCUCUCGGGGUGAUCUCCAUUUGACCAACACAUAAAAAGUUAGGUCUCAGUGCAUUUCAAAAUAGUCAGAUGAAUUGACUAAUCAACUUCUCAAGUCCACUCCUCAUAUCUUGAUGAAUUGAUGAUUGAGGACACUAAAAUAAGUUCAAAUAUGCACGAAAUGAUGAAUUAAAGAACUUCCCUUAAUUGUAUUUGACCAUGGGCUGAGGUUGCUUCAAGAGCAAGACACAGUUGAUGAACAUAUGAAUUAGGGUUUCCUUGGGAAACAAGCCUCAAACCCCUUGACUUGCUUUGAUCAAAAUGAUGAAUUGAGAUACUUGGGAGGCAUAUUUGAUGGGUGAGAGUUUUGGGAACCAUUUCCAUGCUUGCUUUCAUCUUCU
RNAcentral lists this long non-coding RNA (396 nucleotides) under Lathyrus oleraceus (garden pea). RNAcentral's name for it is "Pisum sativum (pea) long non-coding RNA (PSAT_LNC013475)". Lineage: Eukaryota; Viridiplantae; Streptophyta; Magnoliopsida; Fabales; Fabaceae. The record is from RNAcentral.